RNAcentral lists this long non-coding RNA (410 nucleotides) under Rattus norvegicus (Norway rat). RNAcentral describes it as "long non-coding RNA NONRATT030190". Lineage: Eukaryota; Metazoa; Chordata; Mammalia; Rodentia; Muridae. The record is from RNAcentral.
GAUACCAUCCGGCGCCUGGUGCUGCCCUCUGUCCAGCUUGAGGACUCUGGCGAGUACCUGUGUGAAAUCCAUGAUGAGUCAGCUUCCUUCACCAUCACCGUCACAGAGUCAUACCAAAGUCAGGACAGUCCAAAUAACAACCCGGAGUUAUGCGUCCUCUUGAAAAAGCCGAAGACCCAGCGGUUCUGGUCUCGUCUCCCACCGUGGCGACGAACAGCUGGCACUGAGUAGCAGCUGCCCCAUAGUAUGGGGCCCCCAUUUCUCUGUUCCACCCUCCCUGCCAUUCCUCCUGCCUCUCCCCAGACUUCUUUAGCCAUUGACUUAACCUUCUUGGCCCUCGCAGUUUGCAACCCCCGUGUUAAACCAAUAAAUGCACCAAUAAACAUUCCAAGAAACCUCAUGAUAAAUAA